UUCUGACGAAUACAUCCUGUAUUCGACACUGGCCACGACAGAGAUUGACAUG
This 52-nucleotide non-coding RNA is filed under the name unclassified sequences. Its description in RNAcentral is "Mu-gpT-DE RNA". It matches the Rfam family "Mu-gpT-DE RNA". The record is from RNAcentral.